GGCGGGAAGUGACGGGGCCGGUAAACAGGAGCUGUAGCCGUGGCAGCCGGGGCGACAACGACCAGGGAUGGCCAAGGACGCCCUGGGGGCCGCGGGGCUGCACUUCGAUGAGCUGAACAAGCUGAGGGUCCUGGACCCCGAAGUGACCCAACAAACUGUGGAGCUCAAGGAGGAGUGCAAGGACUUUGUGGACAAAAUCGGCCAGUUUCAGAAAAUAGUCGGCGGUUUAAUCGAACUCGUCGACCAACUGGCCAAAGACGCCGAGAGCGAGAAGAUGAAGGUACGGCGAUCGGUGCCCGAAAUCUGCUCAAAUCUAUAGCAAAGCAGAGAGAGGCUCAACAGCAGCAGCUUCAAGCUCUAAUAGCAGAGAAGAAAAUGCAGUUGGAAAGGUAUCGGGUGGAAUACGAGGCCUUGUGUAAAGUAGAAGCAGAACAGAACGAGUUUAUCGACCAGUUUAUUUUUCAGAAAUAAACCAAAAGUGACUUUGAUUGCCCCUGACUCGGCGGAAACCAAACUUGUACCAUUCCAUUUAAGCUCCUGGUUUUCCAGAGCAGCAGCAGCCUGCAGUGUGGGACCGGGAACCCGAACUCGGCAUCUCCAAAGGCAAUAAUCUUUCAGACGUGGUUCUGAACCCCACGAGAACCUGGGAACCCGUAUCAGUGGCCGGGGCUGACCAGAGGAGCCCCAGGAAUGAUUUACUGGGUGAUUUUCGUUUUUCUUUUUACAGUCACCCUUUGUAUACUCUUAUCAGCCUCUGCCCUGCCCCAGCACAGGCAGGCUGGAGAUGACGACCUUCUUUUUUCAACUGUCAAAUGCUUUGAAAGAAAUCAGGCAAUAAAUUAUUGUUUUUAGAAA
RNA transcript from Tachyglossus aculeatus (Australian echidna), 855 nucleotides. It is a transcript of the gene named intraflagellar transport 20, with no coding region annotated. The transcript has 5 exons. NCBI's taxonomy places the organism in Eukaryota, Metazoa, Chordata, Mammalia, Monotremata, Tachyglossidae. The record is from RefSeq and is a predicted model, not a curated record.